CUUCCACAUAGCUCUCCUGCCUGCCAUGGACGGUGUGGACCGUGAUCUGGGCUGACAACCCUGACAUCCACCCAGCUAUGGUAAGGCCUCAGGUUCACUGUGGUCUCUAGAUUCCCUGAUAGCACACCUGCUCUCAGGCUCCGGCCACAGUGGACUUACUUUCACAAAGUAUACAGAGAGGGUAGCAUUGGACAUCUUAGUCUCCCCAAAAGUCCGGAUGUUGAAGGCUGCAAUUCUCAGAGUCCCAGCCAGCUGCAGCAGGUUGGCCAGGGUGAGCAGUGUUCCCAUUAACCCUGUGUACCGCAUCCUGUGAGAUUGGAUGGUCAGGACAAAGAAGCAGUGAAGCUCCCAUCCCCAUCAAAGACUAAAGCCUAGCUUGUGCUGAACCCGUGGGAGGCCCUCAGUCCUUCCCCUGUACUCACCUGAAAGCCAAUCUGAGAUGGCUGCAGCAGUCAGAACAGACCUGCUCUGUUGGUAUGAUGAGCCCCCGAGUCUGCUCUGGAACUGGAUGAACAAGAUGCUGUCUCCGCCAUGCCGGACAUCAACAGUAGGACCAGGAGCACACUCAGGAAUUACAAGAACAGACACCAGGAAGGUAGAAGCAGCUGAGUGCUUCUGGAGUUUUCAGUCAGAUCAACAAGGAAGUAUGUGCUGACAGCCAGUGACCAUAAGGAACACUGGCCACUUUUACGGAUCAGGUGAGCUUUUUAAAGGUCAGCUCUGAUGAUUUACAAUGUUCUCUUUAAAUUACUCUUGUCACAGAUACCGAAUGGGGAAGUAACGAAUAGCAAUAGAUUAUUAAAGUGUGAGCCAAGUCAAAGGAUAUGG
Molecule: long non-coding RNA, 828 nt
Filed under: Mus caroli (Ryukyu mouse)
Lineage: Eukaryota; Metazoa; Chordata; Mammalia; Rodentia; Muridae
Description: lncRNA (MGP_CAROLIEiJ_G0002948.1)
Source: RNAcentral